UAAUACUCCAUAGUUCGUUAUUACUGGAAUGUUUUUCGAACGAAAGAUCCGUCGCUUCAGGAUGAGUCUGCGGCCGAUUAGGUAGUUGUUGGGGUAAUUGCCCAACAAGCCUGUAAUCGGUACGGGUUGUGGGAGCAAGAGCCCGGAGAUGGAUUCUGAGACACGAAUCCAGGCCCUACGGGGCGCAGCAGGCGCGAAAACUUUACCAUGCGGGCAACCGUGAUAAGGAAACCCCGAGUGCCAGCACAGGCUGGCUGUCCGCCAGUUUAAACAACUGGCGAAGAAAGGGCCGGGCAAGACCGGUGCCAGCCGCCGCGGUAAUACCGGCGGCUCGAGUGGUGGCCGCUAUUACUGGGCUUAAAGGGUCCGUAGCUUGAUAAUAGGGUCCCUUGAGAAAUCCGCCGGCUUAACUGGCGGGCGUUCAGGGGAAACUUGUUUUCUAGGGACCGGGAGAGGUGAGGGGUACUGCCGGGGUAGGAGUGAAAUCCUGUAAUCCCGGUGGGACCACCUAUGGCGAAGGCAUCUCACCAGAACGGGUCCGACAGUGAGGGACGAAAGCUGGGGGAGCAAACCGGAUUAGAUACCCGGGUUAUCCCAGCUGUAAACUAUGUGCGUUAGGUGUGU
This 624-nucleotide ribosomal RNA is filed under the name uncultured archaeon. Its description in RNAcentral is "bacterial SSU rRNA". It matches the Rfam family "Archaeal small subunit ribosomal RNA", at positions 147 to 776 of the family's 1478-position model. The record is from RNAcentral.